Molecule: transfer RNA, 64 nt
Organism: Cavia porcellus (domestic guinea pig)
Lineage: Eukaryota; Metazoa; Chordata; Mammalia; Rodentia; Caviidae
Rfam family: tRNA
About the family: Transfer RNA (tRNA) molecules are approximately 80 nucleotides in length. Their secondary structure includes four short double-helical elements and three loops (D, anti-codon, and T loops).
Source: Rfam
GGGGAUUUAGCUCAGUGGUGUAAGCACCUGCCUUGCAAUCAGGCGGUUGUGAGUUCAAUCCCCG